AGAGUUUGAUCCUGGCUCAGGACGAACGCUGGCGGCGUGCCUAACACAUGCAAGUCGAACGAGAAUCUUUGAACAGAUCUUUUCGGAGUGACGUUCAAAGAGGAAAGUGGCGGACGGGCGAGUAACGCGUGAGUAACCUGCCCAUAAGAGGGGGAUAAUCCAUGGAAACGUGGACUAAUACCGCAUAUUGUAGUUAAGUUGCAUGACUUGAUUAUGAAAGAUUUAUCGCUUAUGGAUGGACUCGCGUCAGAUUAGAUAGUUGGUGAGGUAACGGCUCACCAAGUCAACGAUCUGUAGCCGAACUGAGAGGUUGAUCGGCCGCAUUGGGACUGAGACACGGCCCAGACUCCUACGGGAGGCAGCAGUGGGGAAUAUUGCGCAAUGGGGGCAACCCUGACGCAGCAACGCCGCGUGCAGGAAGAAGGUCUUCGGAUUGUAAACUGUUGUCGCAAGGGAAGAAGACAGUGACGGUACCUUGUGAGAAAGUCACGGCUAACUACGUGCCAGCAGCCGCGGUAAUACGUAGGUGACAAGCGUUGUCCGGAUUUACUGGGUGUAAAGGGCGCGUAGGCGGACUGUCAAGUCAGUCGUGAAAUACCGGGGCUUAACCCCGGGGCUGCGAUUGAAACUGACAGCCUUGAGUAUCGGAGAGGAAAGCGGAAUUCCUAGUGUAGCGGUGAAAUGCGUAGAUAUUAGGAGGAACACCAGUGGCGAAGGCGGCUUUCUGGACGACAACUGACGCUGAGGCGCGAAAGUGUGGGGAGCAAACAGGAUUAGAUACCCUGGUAGUCCACACCGUAAACGAUGGAUACUAGGUGUAGGAGGUAUCGACCCCUUCUGUGCCGCAGUUAACACAAUAAGUAUCCCACCUGGGGAGUACGACCGCAAGGUUGAAACUCAAAGGAAUUGACGGGGGCCCGCACAAGCAGUGGAGUAUGUGGUUUAAUUCGAAGCAACGCGAAGA
This 964-nucleotide ribosomal RNA is filed under the name human gut metagenome. Its description in RNAcentral is "bacterial SSU rRNA". It matches the Rfam family "Bacterial small subunit ribosomal RNA", at positions 8 to 967 of the family's 1533-position model. The record is from RNAcentral.